RNAcentral lists this unclassified non-coding RNA (298 nucleotides) under rhizosphere metagenome. Its description in RNAcentral is "partial ribosomal RNA internal transcribed spacer region". The record is from RNAcentral.
GUAGGUGAACCUGCGGAAGGAUCAUUAUUGAAUAAAUCUGACAUGGUUGUAGCUGGCUCCUCGGGGCAUGUGCUCGCCUGUCACCUUUAUCUUUCCACCUGUGCACACACUGUAGUCCUGGAUACCUCUCGCCGCAAGACGGAUGCAAAGACCGCCGUUCCACCUUCGAAAGGUCGGCUUUCACUGAAUUUCCAAGUCUAUGAUUAUCACAUACCCCAAUUGAAUAUUUCAGAAUGCUAUCAAAGGGCCUUGUGCCUAUAAACCUAUACAACUUUCAGCAACGGAUCUCUUGGCUCUC